This 1049-nucleotide long non-coding RNA is filed under the name Nicotiana benthamiana. RNAcentral describes it as "long non-coding RNA (NBEN_LNC013236)". The record is from RNAcentral. Lineage: Eukaryota; Viridiplantae; Streptophyta; Magnoliopsida; Solanales; Solanaceae.
AUGUCUUUUUUUAAAGAAAUGCCUUUCCCAUUAGCUUGAACUCCAUGUUAUGCAGAAAGCAUGAUGGCCUGUAAUAUCUGCAAAAACCUGUGCUGUUGCAGCUCAUUUGCAGUUACUCAUGAUGGAGAAGAUCAAGGUGUUGAAACUGUUGGAAAUGGUGAUUCCUUGGAUGAACAGGAGUAUAGACGUAGAAUUGAACUCGAAGCAGAGGAAAGAAAGCUUGAAGAAACUUUGGAAUAUCAAAGACGAAUGGAGAAUGAGGCUAAACUGAAGCAUCUGCCCGAGCAAAAUAAGAGAAUCACAAAAGCAGUUUCAGGAAGUAUGGAUGCAAUUAUGAAGUCUGAUAUUUACAAGCACAGUGAUAAUGGUCAAAAAAUCACUGGAGAAUGAGGCUAAACUGAAGCAUCUGGCUGAGCAAAAUAAGAGAACCACAAAAGCAGUUUCAGUAAGCAUGGAUGCAAUUAUGAAGUCUGAUAUUUACAAGCACAGUGAUAAUCGUCAAGAAAUCAAUGAGCAAUGGAAGAGUAGUAAGAAGGUCAAUACUCCUAUGCUUGGAUUCUCCUAUCUGUGUGAGAAUUUCCCGUUCUAUUCUCCAUUCUGUAAAAUGAAAGUCAUUGAAUGUUAGGUGUUACUCUUGAAGGAUAUGCUUCUCUAAAUUUUAGGACGAAUUAAUUGAUCGUAAUAUAUGUCUUGCUAAUUUUGGAAUCCUUGGUGCAGAAGAAUGGAUUUCCAGACAGUUUAGAAGUCCCAAAGCACAGUGCUGAAGGAAUGACACAAAAUACUGGUAAGGCCCUUGGUCAUUGUCAGGAACAAUUUGUGCCAGCUAAAAGAACCCCUUGGCCAUACAGUGCCACUGUUAGGAUGUCACAUGAAUUUUAUAUACCUUUUUUUUUCUCUCGCUCAGGACUGUCAAAUGAAGGAAUUCCGGAGGAUAGUACCCUGAUAUCUGCCCGACGCUCCGGAAGGAGAGGCAGACGUCAGAGAGAUUCUAAGCUUAUUGAUGGGAAGUUUCAGUCUGCUUCUGCCGAAAGGGAAAAUACUGAAGUUGG